AACGAACGCUGGCGGCAGGCCUAACACAUGCAAGUCGAACGGGGUGCGUCGCUUCGGUGGCGUUACCUAGUGGCGAACGGGUGAGUAACGCGUGGGAACCAACCCUUGGGUACGGGACAACCCCGGGAAACCGGGACUAAUACCGUAUACGCCCUGCGGGGGAAAGAUUUAUCGCCCAGGGACGGGCCCGCGUCGGAUUAGGUAGUUGGUGGGGUAACGGCCCACCAAGCCCGCGAUCCGUAGCUGGUCUGAGAGGAUGAUCAGCCACACUGGGACUGAGACACGGCCCAGACUCCUACGGGAGGCAGCAGUGGGGAAUAUUGGACAAUGGGGGAAACCCUGAUCCAGCCAUGCCGCGUGAGUGAAGAAGGCUCUAGGGUUGUAAAGCUCUUUCAGCGGGGAAGAUAAUGACGGUACCUCUGAAGGAAGCCCCGGCUAACUCCGUGCCAGCAGCCGCGGUAAUACGGAGGGGGCAAGCGUUGUUCGGAAUUAUUGGGCGUAAAGGGCACGUAGGCGGUCAAGUAAGUUGGUGGUGAAAGCCCUCGGCUCAACCGAGGAAUUGCCCCCAAAACUGCUCGACUUGAGUCCCGGAGAGGGUGGCGGAAUUCCCAGUGUAGCGGUGAAAUGCGUAGAUAUUGGGAGGAACACCAGUGGCGAAGGCGGUCACCUGGACGGGUACUGACGCUGAGGUGCGAAAGCGUGGGGAGCAAACAGGAUUAGAUACCCUGGUAGUCCACGCUGUAAACGUUGAACACUUGGUGUUGCGGGUAUCGACCCCUGCAGUGCCGAAGCUAACGCAUUAAGUAUCCCGCCUGGGGAGUACGGCCGCAAGGCUAAAACUCAAAGGAAUUGACGGGAACCCGCACAAGCGGUGGAGCAUGUGGUUCAAUUCGACAAUAACCGAAAAACCUUACCAGGGCUUGAAAUCCUAGCUGCACAGCCGCAGAAACGUGGCUUCCUUCGAGGGUGCUAGGACAGGUGCUGCAUGGUUGUCGUCAGCUCGUGUCGUGAGAUCUCGGGUUAAGUCCUUUAACGAGCGCAACCCCUAUGGUAUGUUACAGUGAUCAUACCAAACUGCCUCGGAUAACGAGGAGGAAGGUGGGGAUGACGUCAAAUCAGCAUGGUCCUUUGACGCCCUGGGCUACACGCGUGCUACAAUGGAUACCACAAUGGGUCGCUAAGUCGCAAGAUGGAGCUAAUCCCAUCAAAAGUAUUCUCAGUCCGGAUUGAGGGCUGCAACUCGCCCUCAUGAAGCCGGAAUCGCUAGUAAUCGCAGAUCAGCUAUGCUGCGGUGAAUACGUUCUCGGGUUUUGUACACACCGCCCGUCACGCCAAGAGAGUCGGUAAUACCCGAAGUCCCCCAUCUUAUGGGGGCCAAAGGUAGGACUGAUGAUAGGGGCG
Molecule: ribosomal RNA, 1401 nt
Filed under: uncultured bacterium
Lineage: Bacteria
Description: partial 16S ribosomal RNA
Rfam family: Bacterial small subunit ribosomal RNA
Source: RNAcentral